Condylostylus longicornis is the source of this 3187-nucleotide long non-coding RNA. RefSeq lists it as uncharacterized. The transcript has 3 exons. Lineage: Eukaryota; Metazoa; Arthropoda; Insecta; Diptera; Dolichopodidae. The record is from RefSeq and is a predicted model, not a curated record.
AUUAGAUGAAGAAACAAUAAUUGUAAAAAAAAUGCUAAUAAUAUAUCAAUAAAACAAAAUGGCGAUAGUAGAAAAAUAAAUCUUAAAGGUAAUAUAUUAAUACAUUACAACAAUUGCACUAUAAAUACUUUAGAUCAAGAAUUUUGCAAUACCAAAGACAUUAUAAAAGAAAGAUUUUAUUAUCCAAAUAUACAAACAAAUAACUUUACAGAUAAAUUAACAUUUGAAGAAUUUGUAACAAAAUAUGAAAACAAUAUAAAUAAAAUAGAAGAAAGCAAUAAUAAAAAAUUUGAAGCAGUAAAAAUUAGUAUUGUUACUCUAAUUGGUAGUAAAAUUUUAACAAUUAUCAUAACAAUUUUUAUAAUAAAAUGUAUAAAAAAUAAAGUAUGUAAAAGAAUUCAGGAGAAUUCUAAAAUAAAGGAGGGAGAAGUUAUGUAUAAGGAUAACGUUGAUAAUAGUAACAUUAUACCUCCUAAAAAUAAUGAUAACAAACUAAAUCAUGAAUCAACAUGUUGUCAAAACAAUUAUGCUGAAAUACUAUCAGCAAUUAACAAAAAUGUAAAUAAACAAAGUAAUAAAAUGUAAGACAUGUUUACUCUUGAUAUUGAAAAAUAUUAUUAUUAGUUUAAGGAAAUGAUUAAAAUAUAAUUGAGACAAAGAAGAAGUUCUUUGUCUGAUAACCAUUAGAAAGUAAUUAAGACAAAGAAGAAUGUCUUUGUCUGAUAAUUAGUUUUUGUUAAACAAAAUUCUGAUAAAAUAUCUGUUAGAGAUGUUCACAGAAAAUAUUAUCUGAAAAACAGAUUUAAGUAGCAAAGACUCAAUAGUAUAAAUAGAGAGGAAAAAUAGUUUUAAGUUCAGUUCAUAUUUGAUAGUCGGUACGACAAGUUCCAAAAUUGUUAAUCUUUAGUUGUAAUUUCCAUUAAAUAAAUAAAUAAAAUAUAAAAAACAAAUUUAAUUGUUUUUUUUUUUUUAAAUUAAGCCCGAGAUUAAUUAUUUAAUUCGCGAGUUACAUCCUUAACCAACCAUGAAAUAAAAGAGAUAAUAAAUAUCAUUGAAGCAAGUAGGUAAAUAAUGAUAACAGACAUAAAGAAACAAAGAAAGACAUGUUUUUACAACUAUUGUAGUUAUCAGGUAAAUAAUAGAUUCUAAUGUACAAAAACAUGUCUCAACAAGAAAGUAAUUAAAUCAAAAGAUAAUAAUGUGUCUGUUAUCAAAUAUUAAAUAGUUUAAAGAAGAGACAAAGAAAUUAAUUUCUUUGUCUUCAUAACACAAUAACAAAGAAAUUAAAUAUAGAUUAAGAAUAUUUUAGUUAUAAAUAGAUGUAAUGUCAGAACAAUAUUUUAGUCUAAGUUUGAACUGUAAAACCAAUCAUAAUAUAAUCCGUAAUCGUUCCGACUGUUAAUAAAGAUUUCUGUAAAAAUAAAUUUGUUUUUUUGUGUUUUAAUAAAUUAAAGUACAUAAUUGGCGCAGUCGGUAGGAUACCCUCCGAUACAGAAUCAGACGCAGGAACGAUUACAACAACUAUUGGCAAAUACAACAGCAACAACAUCUCAAAAUAUACAACAACAAGACUCAACACUCCAGUUAACACCAGAGCAAUGUAUAAACCACUUUAGGCAUUUAAAACCUUUUAAUGGACAAGGAGAAUAUAAAUUACAAGAAUUUAUCAAGGCUACGGAAAGCUCAAUAAGUUUAUGCAACCAAAACUUACAACUGGAGCAAUACUGCAAGGAAAUCAUCAUAAACGAAAAAGUGCAAGGUGAAGCAAAACGCUGUAUACAACGUCUGGGGUCGCAGUUAACAUGGGACAACGUAAAAGCAGAGCUGACACAACACUUCAGACCAAGAGCAGAUUAUGCAGAGCUCAUCAACAGAUGCAGGAGUUUAAGACCAUUGGUGGUAACCGGCUACUUCUAUUUAACCCACCCCAGGCUGAAGCUCCGGGACACAGCCAGAUGCACACUGGAGUAGCUGGUGGCCGAUGCCCCAACCAGUGGCGGAUGACAUGCUUUGCCAGGUCGUCCCCCAAAGCAUCAACUACACUGGUUUCAUAACAAAGUUAAGAACUCUUUUUUUUUUUUAAUUAUUUUUUUUAUUUUAGUAUAUUAAUUUUAAGCUAAAAUUUUAUGUUUUAAUCCUUAAAACUGGUCAAACAAUUAAUUUACAGGAAAAAAACAACCACACAAUGAUGCAUCACUCAAAGAAACAUAAAAUGAUGGCGUUCAUCUCUAAGAUCCACAGAAUGUUAUCUGCACAGCACCUUAAAGCAGAAGUAAACUUCAUAUUGGACGCGUUAUGUAAACAGAAGAGGUUAUUUUAAGGACAAGGAACAACAUGGGCAUAGACAACUUAUGAUCAUCGCUCUAUGAAUUUGAUAAACAACUAAAGCAACAUAAUAUUCGGACAUCGGAAAUCAACAGUAAAUACCAAGUGAGGAACGCGUUAAAUUCGGGUAUGGAUAAAUUGAAGAAACAUGAAAGAUACACCAAAAGAAGAGACAAGGCUUAAAGAAAAUUUGAGUGAGAUAAAACGGGCAAGGAAAGCAGGAAUUAACAGGAAUUUCGAUUCAAUGGUUGCAAAACAUAUUUACGAAACGGAUCACAUAAUUAUAGAGGACGAAUUGAAGGUAUUAAAAGAGGUAAAGAUGAACAAAUCAAACCUGGAAUACCUACUGAACACGAACGAAGAAGAAAAUCAGCUUUAGUGAAGUGGAUGUGCAGCACACGAAAUAUAUUAGCAAAAAUAAAAGUAUCUUAUUCCGCAUGAUUUCAAUAUUGUAUUUAGUAAUUUUUAUUAAACAAUAGUCAAAAAGUUUAAUUCUGAGUCCGUAGCAAUGAAUUCUCAAAUUAAGUGGAAUCGUAAUCAUAAUAAAAACAAAAAUAUUGCAAGUAUGCAGAUAUUUUUAAUACCACAUUAAUAAAGAAAGAAGAAAAGAGAAUAAUAACGACUUUAAUAGAAGGUGAUUCAACGUUUUAUUAUUGUAUGGCCAACGAAAAACCAAGUAGAUUGGUAAUUUCAUUGAACAAUCAUUGGAAACAAUCGGCUAAUCGGGCGUCUCAGACCUUCAGCAAAAAUGAAAGCCUUAAUACAAUUUUUCGAGUUUGUUGAAAUCCAGGUCAAUUUGGGAGACAAAAUUUUUUUUUAAAAAUGUUACGAGUAUCUAUAUUAAAACUUUUUUAGAAAAGCA